CGUUGACGCAAGUUCGAUGAAGUGCGAAGGUUUUUAUUUUAUUUUAUGUCUUUUCAUCCAUCACAAAGAUCAUU
RNAcentral lists this transfer RNA (74 nucleotides) under Ephedra przewalskii. Its description in RNAcentral is "tRNA-His". The record is from RNAcentral. Lineage: Eukaryota; Viridiplantae; Streptophyta; Gnetopsida; Ephedrales; Ephedraceae.